GAAGAGAGGAAGGAGACUCACACCCAGCCAGCUGCUUUUCAUACCAUUCAAAGGAAUCACAGACCAAAUUUGGACUCCUCAUCUGUUUUUAAGAGGGAAAUCUGAGUUUUCAAGGAAAGCCGAAUACAGUUGCCAAGUUGCCAGUCAAAGAAACAAUGUCAACACCUGCUCAUAGAGAUGGAAUUCCUAACCCGGAAUAUUGCCCUUGAAUUACAACGAGAAAAAGAACACUUCUUAUUCCUGUAGCACCUCUUCAAGUGAGAUGGCAGACCACCUCAGGAUGGAAAUGUAUUUCUUCAUCCCCCUCUCUACUUCCCUGUGACCUCCUGCAAAUAAGGGAGAGACAAAGAGAAGAGCAGAAGAACAGAAGAAUGGAGUGGCAAAGAGAAGAGAAGGAGUGACUGAACAUUGACAAGACUUUGGUUGGGGAUGGUCAGAGAGGAGAUUAGCUGCUAGACGGCCACACUGCGGAGAAAGAUCAUUUUCCCACUCCAUCCCCCUUCCAGCUCCCCAUCCAUCUCACCAAGAGCCAGCUCCACCACUCAAUAAAACCUUACAUUCAUCUUUCAA
Molecule: long non-coding RNA, 570 nt
Filed under: Homo sapiens (human)
Lineage: Eukaryota; Metazoa; Chordata; Mammalia; Primates; Hominidae
Description: surfactant associated 1, lncRNA
Source: RNAcentral